RNAcentral lists this ribosomal RNA (320 nucleotides) under uncultured eukaryote. RNAcentral describes it as "partial 18S ribosomal RNA". It matches the Rfam family "Eukaryotic small subunit ribosomal RNA", at positions 1470 to 1796 of the family's 1831-position model. The record is from RNAcentral.
CCCCUAGAUGUUCUGGGCCGCACGCGCGCUACACUGAACAGUUCAACAAGUCUUAACCUUGGCCGAUAGGUCUGGGUAAUCUUUGAACGCUGUUCGUGAUUGGGAUAGACCUUUGCAAUUAUGGGUCUUCAACGAGGAAUUCCUAGUAAACGCAAGUCAUUAGCUUGCAUUGAUUACGUCCCUGCCCUUUGUACACACCGCCCGUCGCACCUACCGAUUGAAUGGUCCGGUGAAAUCUCGGGACGGCGGCUUGGUCGCUUGCGUCCGACUGCUGAAACUUGAUUAAACCAUAUCAUUUAGAGGAAGGUGAAGUCGUAACA